RNAcentral lists this ribosomal RNA (1345 nucleotides) under uncultured bacterium. RNAcentral describes it as "partial 16S ribosomal RNA". It matches the Rfam family "Bacterial small subunit ribosomal RNA", at positions 28 to 1381 of the family's 1533-position model. The record is from RNAcentral.
GACGAACGCUGGCGGCGUGCUUAACACAUGCAAGUCGAACGGAAAGGCCCUGCUUUUGUGGGGUGCUCGAGUGGCGAACGGGUGAGUAACACGUGAGUAACCUGCCCUUGACUUUGGGAUAACUUCAGGAAACUGGGGCUAAUACCGGAUAGGAGCUCCUGCUGCAUGGUGGGGGUUGGAAAGUUUCGGCGGUUGGGGAUGGACUCGCGGCUUAUCAGCUUGUUGGUGGGGUAGUGGCUUACCAAGGCUUUGACGGGUAGCCGGCCUGAGAGGGUGACCGGCCACAUUGGGACUGAGAUACGGCCCAGACUCCUACGGGAGGCAGCAGUGGGAAUAUUGCACAAUGGGCGGAAGCCUGAUGCAGCAACGCCGCGUGCGGGAUGACGGCCUUCGGGUUGCAAACCGCUUUCGCCUGUGACGAAGCGUGAGUGACGGUAAUGGGUAAAGAAGCACCGGCUAACUACGUGCCAGCAGCCGCGGUGAUACGUAGGGUGCGAGCGUUGUCCGGAUUUAUUGGGCGUAAAGGGCUCGUAGGUGGUUGAUCGCGUCGGAAGUGUAAUCUUGGGGCUUAACCCUGAGCGUGCUUUCGAUACGGGUUGACUUGAGGAAGGUAGGGGAGAAUGGAAUUCCUGGUGGAGCGGUGGAAUGCGCAGAUAUCAGGAGGAACACCAGUGGCGAAGGCGGUUCUCUGGGCCUUUCCUGACGCUGAGGAGCGAAAGCGUGGGGAGCGAACAGGCUUAGAUACCCUGGUAGUCCACGCUGUAAACGGUGGGUACUAGGUGUGGGGUCCAUUCCACGGGUUCCGUGCCGUAGCUAACGCUUUAAGUACCCCGCCUGGGGAGUACGGCCGCAAGGCUAAAACUCAAAGGAAUUGACGGGGCCCCGCACAAGCGGCGGAGCAUGCGGAUUAAUUCGAUGCAACGCGUAGAACCUUACCUGGGUUUGACAUGGAUCGGGAGUGCUCAGAGACGGGUGUGCCUCUUUUGGGGUCGGUUCACAGGUGGUGCAUGGCUGUCGUCAGCUCGUGUCGUGAGAUGUUGGGUUAAGUCCCGCAACGAGCGCAACCCUUGUUCACUGUUGCCAGCACGUUAUGGUGGGGACUCAGUGGAGACCGCCGGGGUCAACUCGGAGGAAGGUGGGGAUGACGUCAAGUCAUCACGCCCCUUAUGUCCAGGGCUUCACGCAUGCUACAAUGGCUGGUACAGAGAGUGGCGAGCCUGUGAGGGUGAGCGAAUCUCGGAAAGCCGGUCUCAGUUCGGAUUGGGGUCUGCAACUCGACCUCAUGAAGUCGGAGUCGCUAGUAAUCGCAGAUCAGCAACGCUGCGGUGAAUACGUUCCCGGGGCU